RNAcentral lists this long non-coding RNA (1011 nucleotides) under Marmota monax (woodchuck). The record is from RNAcentral. Lineage: Eukaryota; Metazoa; Chordata; Mammalia; Rodentia; Sciuridae.
AUUAGAUGCAGCACCAGAUGUGGUGUUCUUUUCUAAUCAAAACAAUCAGAAAUGGUUCACAUUUCCAUGAAAAUAACAAUAUACAUUAAUAGUUUUGCUCCAAAGAGCCAUGGUAAGUCCAAAGAGAUCUGGACCAGAUGAACAUCCUCAGAAUAUCACAUUGAUUACAUCAAUGACACUGUUAAUUGGGUGGGUUGAGCAAGAGGUGGCUAGCAUGCUGGAGACAAGUAAGAUAUGCAUGAGCCAGAGGGUUGGAAAUUAAACCUGGAAACAUUAGGAACCUGUCAAUGUUUUCAUGGGUCUAGUAAUCAGACAUCAUGCCCAAAGCAAAUUAUUAAAUUGUACCUCCUGCUAUGAAGAAGAUGGCACAGCAUAGAUAAGCCUCAAAUUCUUACCAUAUUCCACUCCAUCCUUGCUCUUUCUUGUUCUGGGACCCAUCUUUGAAUCCAGAACAAGAAAGGUCUCUGCAGUUGGCCUAGGCCUUCAUGCAAGCGAUCCUGCAGCUUAUGAUCUACAGGCCCUGUGGAAGUACAAACGGUGGGAAAGUAGGGAGUCUGCGGCAAGCCGUAGUGAAAGCCUCCCAUACUGCAAGGCCCUCAGGCUUCAGAGCAAGACUGUGCCAUGCAGUGAAGAAUGGUAUACCUUUGAAAGACAACUCCUAACCUGGUAAAGAAUGUCUGAUCAUAGGUCACCAAGGACCUAGUGGCUAGAACUUCCCAACAAAUGCUGUUUCCCAUCAGCAGAUCCAGCCACAAUCCGCCAUAAGAUGGAAGUGAUACCUCCAGGAUUGAGCACGAGCAGGAUCAGAGGGCAUAAGCAGAUAUCUAAACCUCCCUGUCACCUGCCAAUUUAUUGCACCAAAGCUCCUCCCUUAGGACACACCGAUGGCAUUAUCCUAUAAGACCUGCUGAAAGAAAAGGAAAAAAUCCUUAGUUUGUUUUAUGGGUGGGUCAGCUCCACACGGGAGUGAUGCAAGCUGCAAGAUGAAAUCAGAUGGUAGUUAAAAAAAAA